Camellia sinensis is the source of this 119-nucleotide small nucleolar RNA. NCBI's taxonomy places the organism in Eukaryota, Viridiplantae, Streptophyta, Magnoliopsida, Ericales, Theaceae. The record is from RefSeq and is a predicted model, not a curated record.
AUCCCAGAUAAACAUGUCUCUGUUUCAUUGAUUCAUGGGAGGUGAACAUUAACAUUGGGAGUUCGCUAAUAACACCUUUUUGUCAAGGAGGUGUUUUAAUAGUACCUCACCAAACGCAU